Molecule: ribosomal RNA, 304 nt
Filed under: uncultured bacterium
Lineage: Bacteria
Description: partial 16S ribosomal RNA
Rfam family: Bacterial small subunit ribosomal RNA
Source: RNAcentral
CAGCAGUAGCCGCGGUAACACGGAGGGUGCAAGCGUUAAUCGGAAUUACUGGGCGUAAAGCGCACGCAGGCGGUCUGUCAAGUCAGAUGUGAAAUCCCCGGGCUUAACCUGGGAACUGCAUUUGAAACUGGCAGGCUAGAGUCUUGUAGAGGGGGGUAGAAUUCCAGGUGUAGCGGUGAAAUGCGUAGAGAUCUGGAGGAAUACCGGUGGCGAAGGCGGCCCCCUGGACAAAGACUGACGCUCAGGUGCGAAAGCGUGGGGAGCAAACAGGAUUAGAUACCCGAGUAGUCCCUGUCUCUUAUCC